Molecule: ribosomal RNA, 468 nt
Filed under: uncultured bacterium
Lineage: Bacteria
Description: partial 16S ribosomal RNA
Rfam family: Bacterial small subunit ribosomal RNA
Source: RNAcentral
GACGAACGCUGGCGGCGCGCUUAACACAUGCAAGUCGAACGGAAAGACCCUGCUUUUGUGGGGUGCUCGAGUGGCGAACGGGUGAGUAACACGUGAGUAACCUGCCCUUGACUUUGGGAUAACUUCAGGAAACUGGGGCUAAUACCGGAUAGGAGCUCCUGCUGCAUGGUGGGGGUUGGAAAGUUUCGGCGGUUGGGGAUGGACUCGCGGCUUAUCAGCUUGUUGGUGGGGUAGUGGCUUACCAAGGCUUUGACGGGUAGCCGGCCUGAGAGGGUGACCGGCCACAUUGGGACUGAGAUACGGCCCAGACUCCUACGGGAGGCAGCAGUGGGGAAUAUUGCACAAUGGGCGGAAGCCUGAUGCAGCAACGCCGCGUGCGGGAUGACGGCCUUCGGGUUGUAAACCGCUUUCGCCUGUGACGAAGCGUGAGUGACGGUAAUGGGUAAAGAAGCACCGGCUAACUACGUG